GGGUUAAGUCCCGCAACGAGCGCAACCCUCGCCUUUAGUUGCCAGCAUUCAGUUGGCACUCUAAAGGGACUGCCGGUGUCAAACCGGAGGAAGGUGGGGAUGACGUCAAGUCCUCAUGGCCUUUAUGUCUAGGGCUACACACGUACUACAAUGGCAGGUACAAAGGGCGGCGACACAGCGAUGUGAUGCGAAUCCCGAAAAGCCUGUCUCAGUCCGGAUCGGAGUCUGCAACUCGACUCCGUGAAGUUGGAAUCGCUAGUAAUCGUGGAUCAGCAUGCCACGGUGAAUACGUUCCCGAGCCUU
This 303-nucleotide ribosomal RNA is filed under the name uncultured Desulfovibrio sp. RNAcentral's name for it is "bacterial SSU rRNA". It matches the Rfam family "Bacterial small subunit ribosomal RNA", at positions 1077 to 1382 of the family's 1533-position model. Lineage: Bacteria; Pseudomonadati; Thermodesulfobacteriota; Desulfovibrionia; Desulfovibrionales; Desulfovibrionaceae. The record is from RNAcentral.